RNAcentral lists this ribosomal RNA (245 nucleotides) under uncultured Actinomycetales bacterium. RNAcentral describes it as "partial 16S ribosomal RNA". It matches the Rfam family "Bacterial small subunit ribosomal RNA", at positions 88 to 334 of the family's 1533-position model. Lineage: Bacteria; Bacillati; Actinomycetota; Actinomycetes; Actinomycetales. The record is from RNAcentral.
UGCUCGAGUGGCGAACGGGUGAGUAACACGUGAGUAACCUGCCCUUGACUUUGGGAUAACUUCAGGAAACUGGGGCUAAUACCGGAUAGGAGCUCCUGCUGCAUGGUGGGGGUUGGAAAGUUUCGGCGGUUGGGGAUGGACUCGCGGCUUAUCAGCUUAUUGGUGGGGUAGUGGCUUACCAAGGCUUUGACGGGUAGCCGGCCUGAGAGGGUGACCGGCCACAUUGGGACUGAGAUACGGCCCAG